RNAcentral lists this long non-coding RNA (13379 nucleotides) under Eucalyptus grandis. Its description in RNAcentral is "long non-coding RNA (EGRA_LNC005799)". The record is from RNAcentral. Lineage: Eukaryota; Viridiplantae; Streptophyta; Magnoliopsida; Myrtales; Myrtaceae.
CCCCCCCUUCUUCUUCCUCUGCUCCUUCUUCUGCAGUGCAGAGAGAAGCCGUACAUGCUUCUUGCAGAAGCCUGAAGGUCGCUGCUUCGAUCGCCCUCUUCAGCUUCCAUUUGCGGUUCGGUUUCUGCGAAAAGGGUGUUCGACGUUGACCCGGGUCCGCUCGAAUUUCAGAAGGUGAGGCGAGAGGAGAUUCUGCAGAGGCUCUGCGUGGCAAGAGAGUUCGAGCUCGCUCGCUGAGUCCGCGCGGGAACCGGUGAGUCCGCUCACUUGUCGCCUCCCCCAGUUCUUCAUUUCCUCUUUUCUUUCGUGGGAACCGUACUAUGAAGUUGUUUUUGACAUGGUACAUGGUCUUAGUAUCUCUAUGGCCCACCGUUUGAUUGAUAACGUGGCUAAUCAAGCAUUUUUCCGAUUUGAGUUGUCAUGAAAGUCAGGAAAAGAUAAACAAAUUUGGGUUCCCAUGUGGUGUCGUGUCAUUAGCUCGAUGGAAGAAAAUAGUUUCUGCACAUCAUCAUGCCAGUGGAGAGAAAAACUCAAGAGAUGUUUGCUAUCUGUUUUGUGAUGGAUCUGAUGAAUUUGGAACCGCACAAGCCAUUGAAAAAAUCUUUCUUUGAGCUUUAUGUGGAGAUUGUGCCCAAAUUCUCCCGAUUAUUUAAGUUCUGUUCACCGAGAAUUUUUCGAGUUGUGCGUGUCGGGCUCGGCAAAGCCCCUGCUCUGUUCUUGCUUGGGACAUUGUUUGGCCAACGCAGAGAGUCAUGUCUAUGGUCAUCUUUGGCCAAAAAUGAUAGGGAGUUAUACGAGACAUUAAAACGAUGACAACUGCCCUUGUUUGUCCUCGUAAAUCAGCAAUUGCGGCUUCCACGGUCCGUGAGCUGAUGGGGAUAUCGACACGAGAUUCUACCUACCGUGGGUGGUUUUUCUCGUUGUCUGGAAGAAUAUUCUAGCAAAAGCAAAUAGUAUAGCAGUUUGAGUGUGCACUGACCAUCUAAGCUUGUACUGCACCCAUUUCGGCGCUGAACCUAAUUUUGGAGAUGAAAUUCUGGACUUGAUAGAAAAACUUAGCGUUCCCUAACCGACCAGUGAUGGCAUGAUUGAUUGUCAUCCGUUAGCUUCUUGAUGUUAAGUCUUGUUGAACUGUUCUUCUCAUCCAUCCAUUCAUUAUUUGUGCAGAUAAAUUGUCCUCUCCUCAUCUCACAAUCCAAGAGAUGUCACCUUCUCUUAGAAAGAGCAUACCUCUGCCUCCUACCUUCCGAAUCGACGAUGAGGUCAGAGCUGCCGAGAAGCAGGGCAUUGUCUCUAUUCUUGGGUCAGACUGCGAGAGAGCCAUGAAUGCUUCGCUUCGUAGGACACUCUCUGCUGAUAUGUCGUCCAAGAAGUGGCUCACCCAAAAUGGUUUCUCUCCGAUAAAGAAGAUUGCGUCAGCUGAAGAGCUUCAGGCCUCCAUCGUUGCUGCGUCUUCUUUCUCGGAAGAAGAUGACGAGGAUGCACAGAAGGAUGACGAAGGGAGAGGCCAGCUUGACAUUUGGAACUCCAUCCAGGAAGCAAAGAAACAGGAAAACGAGAAGUGCACUUGGAGCUUAAUUCUCUCUCAUAAGUCUGCGGAUUCGAAGUCCCUUCCCCCGCCUUACGUUCACCCUCUGGUGAAGAGAUCUGCGAGCUCUUUGAGUGAGAAGAGCCUCCAGACUUGCACUGAGAGCCUUGGAUCCGAGACUGGCUCCGAUGCGUUCUCCUCGUACCCGCCAUCAGAAGUCGGGGACGUGGAAGAUGGAAAGGAAGAAGAGCCGGAGCCACUUCAACAAGAGGGGAUGCCGCUGCAGAGUGUUGACCGGGAAGACUUCGAUGUUGUCAAGUACAAUUAUGCUGCUAGUAGGAAGAUCCAACCUCGAUCUUUCCCUCCCCCUCUACCUUCCCUGUCUCGAGAAGACGGGGCGUCCCUCUCUGUGCAGUCUCGCCGUGACAACGGACGGCUGGUGCUCGAAGCUGUCUCCAUUUUGUCCGAGAAAAAUUUUCAAGCCCAACGCGAAGAUGGCCGUCUCAUUCUUACUUUUGUGGACAGCGUUUCGUCUGGCGAGGAAAUCUAUGAUGGGGAGGAAGUAGAUGACGAAGAGACUGAGAACAUGUCGAUGGAGUUGGAUGAAGAUGUCGAGAGUUCCGAUCGAAACAGCGACGAGGAAGAGGAAGAAAGCGAAGAGGAGGACGGAGAACAGGAGAAGCAAGAGGAGGCAGAGGAACUCGAGUAUGCAAGACUCGUUAACGGUCGUGGUGCAAGGGAGCUGGAGUUUGCCAUGGAACGGACGCCCAAUAUGUCAAGUGGAGUGAUAAAUGUCCAUAAGCUAGCCCUCCUGAUGAACAAGCCCAUCGGUCCACUUAACGGGAACUCGACUUGGCAGAGCAAGUCCAAUAAAGUGGCUAACUGCGAGGAGGAGGAAGAGGAGGCACUCGCACUCGAGGAAUCACUCCCCUUGCGAGCUCCAAUGGCCAGGAUGCUAUCAUCGCAAUCGCUGUCGCCCCAAUCGGCGCCAGCAUCGGCUUCCUUCAAUGCCUACGAGUACUUCUGGCGAUCCAAGUCCACGUCCACCGCCGUCAUCAGCCCGAUCACCCUGCAGUUUCCAUCACAGAAGAACUGCAGUAACAACAACUACAUCAUGUCGAAGAACUCGAUGCUGAACGAGCCACAGGGAGCGAUGUUUGUGAAACAGAGCGAGGCUUAUUACUUGGCCCCUUUGUUGAACAGCUGCAAUAACCCUAGGAGCACUCUAUUUCUGUGGGAGCCCAAGUGCAUUGCCACAUCCUGAUAAAUCCCACCAGACCUGGGGGUGUGUGCGCGUGUCUGAGUCACUCCACCAGUUAUAGUAGCCUCUUACAAGGUUUGCUUAGGCAAUAAAAAGAUGAAAAGAGGCAGUCAAGUACUUAAAUUUAGGAUGCUAAUUAAAAAAAGCUCUUAACCCGGUUUGUUUGAGAGAGGGGGGUGGGGGGGGUGGGGAGGGGUAUAUAAUUUUUAUUUGCUCGUUGACAAGUUUAACAAAUAAAAGUGCUAGUGAUGGUGGAUGCUGUCCGCUAGUAUCAUGUACCAUUUCCGGCUCAAGUACUGAAUAUAUGAUCAAUUUUCUAGAGCCAUUCUUGGGUUUUGCUCAUCUUACAGGAGCCAAAUGUUUCGGAUACAAUGGAUCGCUUCUUAACCAACUGAAGUAUUCGACCCUCUUCCAUCGAAGAAAUUGACUUUAGGAAUUUCCCGAGUCCUAUUGCUAAUGUCGAGUGAACUUUCACGACAUCGGCACCUACUUUUAACAGGAAAGAAACCCAGAAGAAAAAGAUCUUAGCCUGGCAAUGCACGAACAGGUUAAAGUGAAUAAGCGAGUUUUUGUCCACAAUCUCCCACAAGCAAUUCAUGGGGUAGACCGUAAUACCUUACUCUCUCUCUUAUUAGUUUGAUCUAAGCAAAUUGAAAGAGUGAUAUCAGGUGACCAAAAAUGCAAAAGAAAGAAAACCCAAAGAGAUCCUAAUAGAAUCAGUUCAGCUGGAAAGGGCAGGAAUGACAGAAAUUUGAAGUGCUCUAAGAAACUGGCUUCAGAAUGUACAUCUUGCAAGAGUGACCGUCAACUGUUGCCGUGAUGUUCCGAACAAAUGUCUUCUCCAAAGUCUUGUGCUGCAAUAGGAGAAAGACGCCACAAUAUUAAGGAGAGAAUUCGGAGGUAUGCGCUUGAUAAGGCCAAUGCCAUACCAAGUAUGCAAAUGCAAGACAGCAAGCAGGAAAUUUCAUUGGAAAAAUAAAAGAGAGAGAAAGAACAAUAUUAGCAACAUAAAACAGCAUAGAUCUUUUAAAGUGAUACCUCCCAGAUAUCUCUGGCUUCGACAACAGUGUCUGGCGGAAGUCCAAUGUCGCUCCAGUGGCCUAUCACUGUAUAACGAUAUGCGCCUCGGUUUACCAGAAGCACAGCGAGCCGAUAACCAGUGAGAGGCCCGGCCCAGACCUUGAGGAAAGAAAUUGGGGGCAUCUUUUCAGUAGAUGCUGAGCUCCAUACCAGCAAAAAUUGCAUAUACUACAAACUCCAGAAAAGCAUGUCUAUGUACUGCAAAUUAUACCUCUUGGUCACCUUCACUCCGAACCUUCUUGGCUUGAAUUCCGAGCGGAUCUACCAGAGAUGACCAAUUUAAAUUCAAUAAUAGGAAUUCAUUAGUUUUAGACUAUUUCAUCAACUGAGCGCAGGGAAAUGUUUUGACCUUGGUUCACUGCAAUGACCUCCUUGUUGGAAAUUAUUUCCAUAGUAUCGUUGUCCAAAUUCCGGAUAUCGCAACCAAGAAGAAGAGGGGCCUACAUUGCAUUCUAACUAAUCAAAAGAUGACCCAGUGCUAUAUAUAUACCACGCAUUCAUAACUAUGACAGAGUCCACGAUACCUUGGAUAUAGCCCAUAUACUGAAGUGAACUAUGUACUCGUUCUUUGCCAUUCCUCCAUUCCCAAUUUCAAGCAUGUCAGGAUCUGCACAGUGACAAAUUUAUAAGAGAUCAAAGAGUGGGAAUUGAACUCGAAACAUCGAUUAGCCUAUAGUAGUUCUUGUCGAUUAUGCUUUUUAAGGUACUACCAUUCCAGCCGCCAGGCCUGGCAAGCUCCGCAUACGGUUCAUUCAAGUCAGCUCUAGUCAUCAUACUGCAAGGAUAGUAAAAGAUUAAACAUCCUCUAUUGAUAAGAUUGAAUUCCAAGACAAUUUAUUUAAUCCUGAAUGUACAAGUUGGAAAUGUUAGCUGAGACCUUAAUAUCCGUUAAUAUCCAUGGGUAAGCUUCUAGACAGUCAUAUACGAAAAAACAGCAAAAUAACACGAGCAAGUUGCAAGCACCGGAGACUACCUGUCCCAUGUAUCAGAAAUAUCCAUUGUCGUCCUCCAGCUGUUCCCUAUCCUGGCGCCCCAUAAAGCCGGGUGCAAAUCCCCCCUAAUAGCCAAAAGAUUAGGAUAAUGUAGAGUUCACAUGACAAAGUAAAACAUGUGAACGAGAAAAAAAUGAUACAGCUCACUUCCAUGUAGUUUACCAUUCGCAAAGUGAGAAGAAAAUAGGGCGGCCAGCCUUCAUCAGAGAUCGGGUCAUUAUAGGGUAUCUACAUGAUCAAACCAUUGAAUCAGUACUUAAAUGUAACUUCUUUGAGAAUAUUAAGAAACACUACUACUCUCAGUCUUUCUGUUACCUGAUGGUUGGCUUCGUGCCACCAUUGUUGCAGUUAUCAUACUUCAAAUAAUCAAUUCCCUGGAGAAAUAAUGCAAUUCUUCAUUAUGUUUUGUGAUCGAAAGGACAACCAUUGUCGAAAAGUACAUCUAUAACCUCUUAUUUGAAGUCAACAUAAGAAAAAUGCUCAGGUAGUCAGAAAGACAAACCCAAGCUGCAAAGGUUUUGGCAUCUUGUUCCUCGCGACCAAGUGAUCCAGGCAUGGUCUUGCUACAGGUAAAAUAGCUGAAUCCAGGAAAAAAAUCCGUCAACUUAUGUAUCAAUCGAAAAACCAAUUGACGUUUAAACACGUCAGUAAUUCUCGUAGCAAUUAUGGCAGGGUGUCAUACCCAGCAUCCGAAUAUAUUCCUAGCUUCAAACCCUUGCUGUGAACAUAAUCGGCAAGAGCUUUGAUGCCAGAUGGAAACGUCGUAUUCUUGGCUACUAAAUUGCCCUGCCAUUAUCAUGUCAUGUAGUCGAGCAUAAUUAGAAUGUGAGUUCUGAAAUGGAUUUCAUAGUUCAGAGCCCCAAAAGGAUAGAAAGAUUUACAUUGUAAUCACGUGCUAUCUCAGCCCAGCAAUCAUCUGAAAAGAAAAAAUCAAUCAGGGCAUAGAACAAUCGACAAAGAACAAGCCAUUACAAAAAUAGAGGAAGCGAGAACUUGGUGCUGCAUACCUAUGUUGACGUACUCGUAGCCCAGCUUUGAAAGACCAGUAGAAACCAGAGCAUCAGCUGUAAAAACAAACCCGAGUAUGUCAAAAUGCUCAAGCUCAAGAAGCAAAGUUCGUCCUUCAUAGCGUUUUAACCUCACGAUACAUUAUUAUAGUUUUCAAAAUCUGAACUGUGGACUAUUUAUUCAUGCCCAAGCAGCUUUAGGCUGGAAAAACUAAAAGAAAAGAACGAUGGUUUAUGCUAGUGAGACCUAAUCGAUAUCAACUUGAAGAAGAAGACCAGUUUCCAACUGUAUCAAGAAAGGAAAGUAAUUUACUCAGUUUGAUCAAGAACCCAUAAGAAAAGAGUUGAACAUUGUUUAGCAGAAACUAAUGCUAGCACGAACCGGUCUCUCUGAGGAUCGUUUCAUUAACCGUACACCAGAAGUGAUUCCAACUAUUCCACCUGCGAACAUGGGAAGGACAUCAUCAUAAGAUUGCGUUAUCAUAUGAGAUGAGGAAACAGGAAUUAUUACACGAGAAAUAAUUUAAAAGGAACACAUAAUUGGAAAGGACAAAAAGGAUAAAUAUGCUCCGUCAUUCGAUCUGCCGCAUGUCGUUCGAGUCCAAUCUGCCACACCCGACAUCUUGCAAUGGAUUUAUCUAAGUUAAUCUUAUCAACAUAGCUUUUUCCUUGGUAUAUUUGAUUGAUUUGAGACUUACUCUUGUGAAACAAUGAAAUAUUUAGACUUUUCACACUAGCUAAAACAAAACCCAAAAAAAAGAGAAUUUUUUUUUCUAACCCAAAUACAUUUUGUAUGCAUAAGACUAUCAUAUAGAAUAUGAUAUAGUAAAAAAUAUACCCUGAGUUAAGGAUAUUGUAUAAAAAGUAUCUAUGUAACCACAAUUAUAUGACCAAUCAUAGAUUACAUUUUUUAUAUUGUCCCCUAAAACUCUGUUAGGAUCUCUUUCGGAAAAUGAAUUUAGUAAGUUCAAAUUUUGCAAAAAUGAAUAAAUAAGCUUAUAUGAAAAAGACAGCCAUACAUAUUCCGAAGAAUGCUAUACUGACAGAAAAACUUGCAUUCGUCACAAAUUCAUAGCAAUGUUCCAAAAAGAACAAGACUUUACACACACACACACACAAAAACGACUUUUAAGCAAAAAUACUCACCAACUUCUUCAACAAAGUUUUAAAAAAUAUAUAUUCGAAAAUAUAAGCACAUAAAUUAUACGUAAAAAUAUCUAAUGAUUUGUGCGUGAGCUGUGUUACGACUGAGAAGUUCCGUUGCCGGGUGGAUCAUACAAAUGUCUAUUAGCCAAGGUUGGUGAGCAGGGGAUGCCCUGUUUCUGGUGAUGAACAGAUGAUCUUUGCCAUUAUCGAUCGACAAGCAGACAAUUUGAUGACAUCUCGAGCAUCAGAGAGAGUUAGCCGAGCGGUCGGUCAUCCCAGAAUCGAUCCUCAAAUAAUUGAAUUGACACCCACUAAAGGACACGCAACCGACAUCGUAAAGCAGACCGAAAUCGCACCACCGUUUACGAAAUAUAUCUCAUAAACCGCGAAAACAAUCCGAACGGUAUCAGCAUUCCGCACAAGACUACGUCGCAAGGCAGGACGGGGAAUCGAUCAUCAUCAUCCUCAUGAGCGAGAGAGAGAGAGAGAGAGAGAGAGAGAGAGAGAGAGAGAGAGAGAGAGUAGUAGUAGUACCCCAUGGGAGGAGUGAGGCCGAGGCCAUUGGCGAGCAGGUUCCUGCGGUACUCCUGCCGGUAGUGCAAGUACUUGGACGACUUCAAAUCCACCCUCGCCUUCGACGCUCCCACCGGAGCUCCGUCGGUCGCCAACGGCCACCACACGCACGCGAUCACCACCGCCAGAAGCAGGGGAUCACUCCACUUUCCCCUCACCAUCACCGCCACCACUACCACGACUACCACCAGUAUCCCCUCUCUCUCUCUCUCUCUCUCUCUCUACCUGCAGAGUGUUUAUAGGCUGAGGAGCCAGCGAGCGUUGAGAUGGGAUAAGGAGUAGGGCGUUGAGUAUUUAUAGGCUGUUUCUCUGGCAGUGGGCAGAGCAGAGCAGAGCAGAGCAGAGCAGAGAUCAGUAACAUGAUUUGCGGAAACGACACUUACCCUCUCUCUCUCUCUCUCUCUCCAUCCAUUAACGACGAGGAUUAUCUGCAGCAUGAUUGAUUGUGCAGUUAAUCCGAAACGGAUAAGCCCACAAAAUGUGCUUCCCCGAGGUGCAACGUUGCUACAUCCAUGGCAUCUAACAAACUCCCCUGAAUCACUCGAAUCCUGUUUUUACUUUUUUUUGGUCAUACACUCGAAUCCUCUUAAUAACUGGGAUAAUAGCUAGUAAUCACCGAACUUUGAUCCAUCGAGCAAUGUGGUCCUUAAACUUUAGCCCGACGCGUAGUGUCGUAUCUAAACUUUUAAUUUAUUUAUUUGAUGUGAAACAUGUUCAAGAUAGUUGCAGCAAAUAUUUCUAUAUAGUCGAAAGACUAACUUGGAUAUGUAUUAAAAGUUUAGCGACCAUCUUAAAUAAAUUGAAACUACAUAGAUGACAUUGCAUGUUGAGUUAAAUUUAAGAGAUCAUAUUGAAUGAAUGAAAAGUUCUAGGUCUACAUUGGGCAUUGGAUCAAAGUUCAGUGACUAUAUUGAACUAGACUAAAAUUCGAAGACCAUUUGUGUCAUUUUUCCUUAAUAAUUGCUUCUUUGAUAUAAUCUCAAGUAAAUAAAAAGAUUGAGAAGUGAUUUAAUAAGGAAGGCUGCUUGACAAAAGGAGUAUGUUCGACCUAAUUCUUUAUUUCGUUCGCUUUGGUAGGACGACUGAGAUUGAUACGGCUCGUGCGCAUCGCAAGAACAAACUUAUUUUCCUGGCAAUGUUACUUUGAAUAUAUAUUCUCGUGAAAUGAUCAUGUCCAACCUAUAUAGAAGCAGACUAAUGUAGAAGAUAAGAGUCUUAGUUUUCUAGUGAAAACAUUGAAAAAACCAGUUAGAAAUUUGAAAAUUGAAUUCGAUUAUUUCCACGUAAUAGAAGAAGAGAGGACGAGCGAAGAUGGAAGUGGAUAAGAGAUUAAUGAUCAACGAUAUAGUGUAAUUCGCACCAUUUCUUUUUCAUAUUCCAGAAUUAAAGUUUAAUCAUCGAUGAACAGCGAUAUUAAUUGAUCCCCUUUGUACCCAGCAUUUAAAAAUCAUUAAGUUCUUUUUUUUAAGAUGGUCUUUAGAAGAGAUGUACCAGAAAACUCUUUCUAUUCUUUAUUUUAUUUAUUUUUUUCUAUUUCCUCCUUGUACAUUUGGAUGCAUGUGUCACGGCCCGAAAGUUAGCAUGUCCAAUCGAGAGUUGAUCGAUCGGCCCGUGACACAUGAGUGAGUGAUGAUAAUAUGAAGGGGAAGGUCAAGGUACUCUCUCUAGUACUCCCGACACAAAAGGCCUUCUCCUUCAAAGCUAUUCCCAACACAAAAGGCCUUCUACUUCAAAGCUAUAGUGAUCAUGAAAGGAAAUUAUCCGAUCAAUUAUAAAAUUACUAAAUGAAUGCAAAUUUAUUUUGAGUGAUUUUCAACAAAAAUUGACUAGUGUCUAUAAGGACCACAUUAGAAUUUCACACAAAGAUUAAGGAUUAAAGUGGCUAAAUCAGAAAGUUUAGAACUUAAUUAGAAAGUUUAUAACUAAAUUUUUUUAUUAAUUUUCCUGUAGCCAUUGGGUAGGCAGAGACCAAAAAAUAAAAGGGAGAAGCACACAACCUUAAUCUCCAUUUGCCGAAAUGGGAAAACUACUAAAAAAUGCUAAAUCUGAUGAACCCAUAUCAAUCCACGCCCCUCGCUUAAAUUUAGGAAAGGCAAUCGCAAGAUUCGCAACCACAGACCAAGGUGGCCUUGCCUGUUGCUGGCGAGGCUAGCCUCGCUCAGAUUUAAGCAAAGCGGCCUCACCCUAGAGCACGUCACUCAUACGGAAAGAAAAGAGGAAAAAAAAAUAUAUAUAUGAAGAUUAAAAUAAGUUGAAAAAAAAAAAGUUAAGACGGACUUUGCAACUUAGGUCCACGUCAUUGUCAGACGGUUUAAAGACUUUUUUUUUUUUUUGGGUAAUUAUCUAUUGCCCAAAUUAAUCAAUGGAUCCCACAUCGAGAAACUUGAAUAUCCUCUUUAUUUCCAAAUAAGCAAACAUGUACACUCUCUCUUAUUGGUUUGAUCUUAGCAAAUUGAAAGAGCGACAUCAGAUGACUAAAAAUGGCAAAAGAAAGAAAAUCCUAAGAGAUUUCAAAAGAAUCAGCUCUGCUGGAAAGGGCAUGACCGCCGGAAAUUUGAAGCGCUCUAACCGACCGGCUUCAGAAUGUACAGCUUGCAAGAGUGACCGUCAAUCGUUGCCGAGAUGUUCCCAACAAAUGUGUUCUUCAACGUCUUGUGCUGCGCAUUAGGAAUAAGACAGCCAACGUCAUGUCCAAGCAUGCAAGAAAUGCAGGGCCGCAAGCAGCAGGCAAUUUCAUUACUAUAUCAGCAAACAUAGAACAGCAUAGAUCUUCUAGAAAUAAUACCUCCCAGAGAUCUCUGGCUUCGGCAACAGUCUCUAGCGGAAGUCCGAUGUCGUCCCAGCGGGCUGUCAAUGCGUAACGAUAAGUGCCUCGGUUUACCAGAAGCACGGCGACCCGAUAACCGGCGAUAGGGCCAGCCCAGACCUUGAGGAAAGAGAUUGGCAGUCAUUUUCUCAGUAUAUGCUGAGCUCUACACCGGCCAAAUAGCAUAUACACUACAGACUGCAGGAAAAAAAAAAAAAAAGUCUAUGUACUGCAGUUUAUACCUCUUGGUCACCUUCGCUCCGAACCUUCUUGGCUUGAAUUCCGAGUGGAUCUGCCAGAGAUGACCAAAUCGAAUUCAAUAAUAGGAUCAAUAGCUUUAGACUAUUUCAUCAAAUGAGGGCAGGGAAAUGUUUUGACCUUGGUUCACUGCAAUGACCUCCUUGUUGGAAAUUAUUUCCCAAGUAUCCUUGCUUAAAUUCCGGAUAUCGCAGCCAAGAAGAAGAGGGGCCUACAUUACAUCUUAACUCAUCAAAAGAUGACCCAGUGUUAUAUAUACCAGUCAUGCAGUAACUACAACCAUCCACGAUACCUUAGAUAUAGCCCAUAUACUGAAGUGAACCAUGUACUCGUUCUUCGUCAUUCCUCCAUUCCCAACUUCAAGCAUGUCAGGAUCUGCAGAUUGACAAAUUUAUAAGAGAUCCAAGAUUGGGAAUUGAACACGAAACAUUCAAUAUUAACCUAUAGGCGUUCUUUUUUUUGUUUUUUUUAAUUGAUUUUCAGGGUAUUACCGUUCCAGCCACCAGGCCUGGCAAGCUCUGCGUAGGGUUCAUUCAAGUCAGCUCUACUCAUCAUACUGCAAGGACAGUAAAAGAUUGAUCAUCCUCGGUAAAUGGGAUUGAAUUCCAAGACAACUUAGUAAAUCCCGAAGUACACGUUGGAGGACAGAAGCCAAACAGAGGAUGUUACGCUAAGACUUUGAUAUCCACGGGCAAACUUCCUUACAGUCAUACCAAAAAACAAAAACACGAACAAGUUGAAAGCACAAAAGACUACCUGUCCCACGUGUCAGAAAUAUCAUUCGUUGUUCUCCAGCUGUUCCCUAUCUUGGCGCCCCAUAGAGCUGGGUGCAAAUCCCCCCUAAAAGCCAAAAGGUCAAGAUAAUGUAGAGUUCACACGAUGAAGUAAAACAUGUGAACGAGAAAAAAAUGAUACAGCUCACUUCCAAGUAGUUUACCAUUCGCAAAGUGAGAAGAAAAUCGGGCGCCCAGCCUUCAUCAGAGCUCGGGUCAUUACAGGGUAUCUACAUAAUGAAACAAUUGAAUCAGUACCCGAAUCUAACUUUCCUUGAGAAUACUAAGAGCAAUGCUACUCUUAGUCUAUCUGUUACCUGACGGUUGGCUUCGUGCCACCAUUGUUGCAGUUAUCAUACUUCAGAUAAUCAAUUCCCUGCAGAAAUAAUGCAGUCAUUCAUUAUGCUUUGUGAUCGAAAGGACAACUAUUGUUGAAAAUUGCAUCUACAACAUCUAAUUUGAAGCAAACAUAAAAAAAUGCUUAGGUAGGCAAGAAGACAAACCCAAGCUGCAAAGGUUUUGGCAUCUUGUUCCUCGUGACCAAGUGAUCCAGGCAUGGUCUUGCUACAAGUAAAAUAGCUGAACCCAGGAAAAAAAUCUGUCAACUAAAUUAUAAAUGGAAAAAUCGAUUGAUAUUUCAAUAUAUCGGUAAUUCUCGUAGCAAUAAUGGCCAGAUGUUGUACCCGGAGUCCGAAUAAAUUCCUAUCUUCAAACCUUUGCUGUGAACAUAGUCGGCAAGAGCUUUGAUGCCAGACGGAAAUGCCGUAUUCUUGGCUACGAAAUUGCCCUGCCAUCAUUACAACAUGUAGUCGAGCAUAAUCAGAAUGCAAGUUCUGAAUCGUUUCGGUUACAGUGUUCAAAGCCCCAAAAGGAUAAAAAGACUUACGUGGUGAUCGCGUGCUAUCUCAGCCCAGCAAUCAUCUGUAUAGAAAAAUCAAUCAGGGCAUAGAACAACCGACAACGAACGGUGCCAUUAGGAAAAUAUACAGAGGAAGUAAGUACUUGGAGCGUACAUACCUAUGUUGACAUACUCAUAACCCAGCUUCGAAAGACCGGUAGAAACCAGAGCAUCAGCUAGAAAAAUAAACCCGGAUAUGUCAAAAUUAUUAAGCUCAAGAAGCAAUGUCCAUCCUUAAUAGCGUUUUAACCUCAUAAUACAUCAAUUUAUUCAUGCCCGAGCAAUUUUAGGCUGGAAAAACUAAAAGAGAAAAGCAAUGGUUUAUACUAAGAUGACCAGUUUUCAACUGUAUCAAGAAAUAUAAUUUGAACUCAAGAAGCAACGAAAGUAAUUUACUCAGUUUGAUCAUGAACCCAUAAGAGAAGAGAUGAAAAAUGUUUAGCAGAAACUAAUGUUCAGCACGAACCAGUCUCUCUAAUGACCGUUUCAUUAAUAACGCACGCGAAGUGAUUCCAACUAUUCCACCUGCAUACACGAGGAGAAUGAAAUCAUUACAGGAUUGCGUUAUCAUUCGAGAGAAAUAAAACAGGAAAACAUUACAAGAAAUUAAUUAAAAAAAAAAAAAAAACACAUUAUUGAAAAAGACAAAAAGGAUAAAUAUGCUCCAUUCGACCUCGUUCAAGGCCGCAGCGCAGAUAGCAACGUUCCAAAAUAACAAGCGCUUACACAAAAAGAUCACUUUUUAAAGCAAAAAUACUCUUCAACGUAGUUUAAAAUAAUACAUAUGUGGAAAAUUUAAAAGAAAGUAUAUGUCGAUGUUUCGUAAUUUGUUCGUGAGCUGUGUCGGGACUGAGAAGAUCCGUGUUCCUCGGCGGAUCAUACACACAUGUCCACGUGCAGAGGUAGGUGGAACAGAGCAGGGGAAGCGCUGUAAUUUUUAUGGAUCGACAAGCAGACAAUUUGACGACAUCUCGAGCAUCUCGGGGAGUAAGCUGAGCGGUCGGUCAUCCCAGAAUCGCGCUCAUCGAAUAAUACAGAACGACACCCACAAAAGGAC